Molecule: ribosomal RNA, 516 nt
Filed under: uncultured bacterium
Lineage: Bacteria
Description: bacterial SSU rRNA
Rfam family: Bacterial small subunit ribosomal RNA
Source: RNAcentral
GAGUUUGAUCCUGGCUCAGGAUGAACGCUGGCGGCGUGCUUAACACAUGCAAGUCGAACGGGAAACCUUUUAUUGAAGCUUCGGCAGAUUUAGCUGGUUUCUAGUGGCGGACGGGUGAGUAACGCGUGGGUAACCUGCCUUGUACAGGGGGAUAACAGUCAGAAAUGACUGCUAAUACCGCAUAAGCGCACAGAGCUGCAUGGCUCUGUGUGAAAAACUCCGGUGGUAUAAGAUGGACCCGCGUUGGAUUAGCUUGUUGGUGGGGUAACGGCUCACCAAGGCGACGAUCCAUAGCCGGCCUGAGAGGGUGAACGGCCACAUUGGGACUGAGACACGGCCCAGACUCCUACGGGAGGCAGCAGUGGGGAAUAUUGCACAAUGGGGGAAACCCUGAUGCAGCGACGCCGCGUGAAGGAAGAAGUAUCUCGGUAUGUAAACUUCUAUCAGCAGGGAAGAAAAUGACGGUACCUGACUAAGAAGCCCCGGCUAACUACGUGCCAGCCGCCGCGGUAAUAC